CCUACGGGAGGCAGCAGUGGGGAAUAUUGGACAAUGGGCGCAAGCCUGAUCCAGCCAUGCCGCGUGAGUGACGAAGGUCUUCGGAUUGUAAAGCUCUUUUGCCAGGGACGAUAAUGACGGUACCUGGAGAAUAAGCCCCGGCUAACUUCGUG
Molecule: ribosomal RNA, 152 nt
Filed under: uncultured bacterium
Lineage: Bacteria
Description: partial 16S ribosomal RNA
Rfam family: Bacterial small subunit ribosomal RNA
Source: RNAcentral